This 2204-nucleotide ribosomal RNA is filed under the name Salmonella enterica. RNAcentral describes it as "partial 23S ribosomal RNA". It matches the Rfam family "Bacterial large subunit ribosomal RNA", at positions 711 to 2811 of the family's 2925-position model. The record is from RNAcentral. Lineage: Bacteria; Pseudomonadati; Pseudomonadota; Gammaproteobacteria; Enterobacterales; Enterobacteriaceae. RNAcentral also lists the same sequence under 1 other name.
AGACCCGAAACCCGGUGAUCUAGCCAUGGGCAGGUUGAAGGUUGGGUAACACUAACUGGAGGACCGAACCGACUAAUGUUGAAAAAUUAGCGGAUGACCUGUGGCUGGGGGUGAAAGGCCAAUCAAACCGGGAGAUAGCUGGUUCUCCCCGAAAGCUAUUUAGGUAGCGCCUCGUGAAUUCAUCUCCGGGGGUAGAGCACUGUUUCGGCUAGGGGGCCAUCCCGGCUUACCAACCCGAUGCAAACUGCGAAUACCGGAGAAUGUUAUCACGGGAGACACACGGCGGGUGCUAACGUCCGUCGUGAAGAGGGAAACAACCCAGACCGCCAGCUAAGGUCCCAAAGUCAUGGUUAAGUGGGAAACGAUGUGGGAAGGCCCAGACAGCCAGGAUGUUGGCUUAGAAGCAGCCAUCAUUUAAAGAAAGCGUAAUAGCUCACUGGUCGAGUCGGCCUGCGCGGAAGAUGUAACGGGGCUAAACCAUGCACCGAAGCUGCGGCAGCGAACGUAUCACCCAAGACAACUUUACGGAGUUGACGAUUGACGGAGCGAAGCGACGUCAAAGCGUUCAUUAAAGUCGAGUUGGCUUAGGGAUACGUUCGUUGGGUAGGGGAGCGUUCUGUAAGCCUGUGAAGGUGUGUCGUGAGGCAUGCUGGAGGUAUCAGAAGUGCGAAUGCUGACAUAAGUAACGAUAAAGCGGGUGAAAAGCCCGCUCGCCGGAAGACCAAGGGUUCCUGUCCAACGUUAAUCGGGGCAGGGUGAGUCGACCCCUAAGGCGAGGCCGAAAGGCGUAGUCGAUGGGAAACGGGUUAAUAUUCCCGUACUUGGUGUUACUGCGAAGGGGGGACGGAGAAGGCUAUGUUGGCCGGGCGACGGUUGUCCCGGUUUAAGCGUGUAGGUGUGUGUUCCAGGUAAAUCCGGUUCACUUUAACACUGAGGCGUGACGACGAGGCACUACGGUGCUGAAGCAACAAAUGCCCUGCUUCCAGGAAAAGCCUCUAAGCAUCAGGUAACAUCAAAUCGUACCCCAAACCGACACAGGUGGUCAGGUAGAGAAUACCAAGGCGCUUGAGAGAACUCGGGUGAAGGAACUAGGCAAAAUGGUGCCGUAACUUCGGGAGAAGGCACGCUGACACGUAGGUGAAGUGAUUUACUCAUGGAGCUGAAGUCAGUCGAAGAUACCAGCUGGCUGCAACUGUUUAUUAAAAACACAGCACUGUGCAAACACGAAAGUGGACGUAUACGGUGUGACGCCUGCCCGGUGCCGGAAGGUUAAUUGAUGGGGUCAGCGCAAGCGAAGCUCCUGAUCGAAGCCCCGGUAAACGGCGGCCGUAACUAUAACGGUCCUAAGGUAGCGAAAUUCCUUGUCGGGUAAGUUCCGACCUGCACGAAUGGCGUAAUGAUGGCCAGGCUGUCUCCACCCGAGACUCAGUGAAAUUGAACUCGCUGUGAAGAUGCAGUGUACCCGCGGCAAGACGGAAAGACCCCGUGAACCUUUACUAUAGCUUGACACUGAACAUUGAGCCUUGAUGUGUAGGAUAGGUGGGAGGCUUUGAAGUGUGGACGCCAGUCUGCAUGGAGCCGACCUUGAAAUACCACCCUUUAAUGUUUGAUGUUCUAACGUGGACCCGUAAUCCGGGUUGCGGACAGUGUCUGGUGGGUAGUUUGACUGGGGCGGUCUCCUCCUAAAGAGUAACGGAGGAGCACGAAGGUUGGCUAAUCCUGGUCGGACAUCAGGAGGUUAGUGCAAUGGCAUAAGCCAGCUUGACUGCGAGCGUGACGGCGCGAGCAGGUGCGAAAGCAGGUCAUAGUGAUCCGGUGGUUCUGAAUGGAAGGGCCAUCGCUCAACGGAUAAAAGGUACUCCGGGGAUAACAGGCUGAUACCGCCCAAGAGUUCAUAUCGACGGCGGUGUUUGGCACCUCGAUGUCGGCUCAUCACAUCCUGGGGCUGAAGUAGGUCCCAAGGGUAUGGCUGUUCGCCAUUUAAAGUGGUACGCGAGCUGGGUUUAGAACGUCGUGAGACAGUUCGGUCCCUAUCUGCCGUGGGCGCUGGAGAACUGAGGGGGGCUGCUCCUAGUACGAGAGGACCGGAGUGGACGCAUCACUGGUGUUCGGGUUGUCAUGCCAAUGGCACUGCCCGGUAGCUAAAUGCGGAAGAGAUAAGUGCUGAAAGCAUCUAAGCACGAAACUUGCCCCGAGAUGAGUUC